RNAcentral lists this long non-coding RNA (2706 nucleotides) under Sus scrofa (pig). Its description in RNAcentral is "lncRNA (ENSSSCG00040034188.1)". The record is from RNAcentral. Lineage: Eukaryota; Metazoa; Chordata; Mammalia; Artiodactyla; Suidae.
AAAGAGAAUGGGAAUUUUGAGUCAUGGUAGCAUUUCCAAAUCACAGCAUCCAGAAGUCUUGUGUAGAUGAGAGAAGCCAGUCACCAGGUAUCACUAGCAGGCAUCUUUCUGAAGUGGGUCUUUUGCCCACAACCUGCAGAUCCAUGAUCUUUGCACUUGAACGCACCUAGGAGUGAGUCACCGGGGAAUCCUGCUGAAAUGCCGACUCUGACUCGAUACCACUGACAUGAAAGAUACUGAACGAAUUCCCUGGAAAAGCAGACAGUCACAUCCCUCUGCGCGCGUGCCGGUUUCCGGAGAGGAACUGAUGCGGCCGCAGCUGCUCUCGGCCUCUUUGCAGAUGUCCUCGUCCCCACCCCGUGCUAAGGUCGUCUUAGAAAAUAGCUGAGGGCCGACAGCAAUGAAGAAGCUGAGGCCCAACGUAGUAGACGAUUUGGCCAAGGUCACCCAGCGGGGAAGUAGCUGUCUUGAGGGGUCCGUGCUGCGGUCAAGGUCUGGCAGAAGGCAAUCUUGGAAAGCAGUGUUAGCGAGAUGGCCGGGAGCACUGUCACCCCGACCCAAAACGACUUGAUCGUUUCCACUGUAUCAUCAUUUCAGAAAUCUUAGCAGCUUCGGAAUUCACAUUAUGGCCUAACUCCCUUUUAACCUCCACCACUCUGACUGGUUUUCUACAGAAGAGGAAACAGAACUCCGACCUGGCUCACUCUCUCCACGGUCACACAGCAAGUGAGAAGCAGAAACAUACUGUAAACCAAGUUACUUGGCCUCCAACACCUGUGCUCCUUUUGAGGCCAUACAUCCUCCUAGUGGUGUUUUAAGAUAGAGGACCAGGCAGUAUUUGUCUCUAUAGGAAUAGUCAUGAAAUUCUGACCUUUACUCUGAAAGACCAUCAUUUACUGUUUCAAAGGAAUACCAGAAGUUAAAGUGGCAAUUGCUCAAUAUUCAGCCUGGGGAGCAAGGAGGGAGGGAGCAACGAAGGAAGGAUAAUGAAUGCUUGAAUUUAUAAUAUAAUGAGUUUCCUGCAAUUAUCAGAAAUGUCCACUAGAUGUCACUAUUUCACACUACUUCUGCAAAGCCAUCCCUGUAAAGAAAUUUUGACCUUUGGACAGAGAUGAUUUUAUCUCUUAUAAUGGAAAAAAGCUCAGUCAUUUCUAAUGUCUUUGGAUUGCUUCCUUGUUUCUCUUAAAUUUGCCUCAAGAGAGAAUGCAAAAACAUAGACUUUAAUUAAGGCCUGAGACAAUAUCCUGAUAGUGGGAGAUAUUAACCAAGACAUUACCCACUCAAGGGGUUUCCAGGCUGUUCCAGGGCUAGAGACAUUGCAGGAAGCCCUCAUUUUGCUGGGUUGUAGAGCUCCCAUCAGCACUUUGUGGUAACUCUACCAUGCUCACUGCUUCAGACUCAGAGAACCAGUAAUUGAGCAACAUCCAAAAGACAGCACAUUGGGGUUUUAAAUUGUGCUUUUUUCUUGAAAUAGUUCUCACACUUUGUUUUACAAGACUGAGGCUCAAAGGACUAUAGUGAGUUUAUGUGUCAUAUACACAUUUAAUAGAUAUGCAUACAUCACACUCAUAAUUCAAAUGAGGACUGUCCUGUGCUUAUGGAGGCUUUUUUCCCAAGUAUAAUUGGAGUCAAAUUUACAGAUCAUCAUUUCAGGUUUUCAUAAGUUUUAAAGCAGACUGCCAUUGCAUUAACCAGGCUCACAAUUGCAACCUCAGCUAUAUUUAGCACAGAGAAACUUUUUUUUUUUUGCUUUUUAGGGCUGCAAUCCUGGCAUAUGGAGAUUCCCAGGCUAGGGAUCCAAUCAGAGCUACAGCUAGUGGCCUACGCCACAGCCACAGCAAGGCCAGAUCCGAACUGCAUCUGCGACCUACACCACAGCUCACAGCAACACCAGAUCCUUUACCCACUGAGUGAAGCCAGGGAUCGAACCCUCAACCUCAUGGUUCCUAGUUGGAUUUGUUUCCGCUGUGCCACAACAGGAACUCCUUAACUAUUUUUUCAGUUUAAACAUAUUCAUGAGGUCUGUUGAUGGAAAAUGUGGGGACUGCUGAUUUUCAAGUUCCCAGCAAGUUUGGAAGUUUAUGUACUUUAUUAGGGUUCUCUACUGAGAGUCUUUCUUCUAAUAUUUUUUUAAAAAACUGAAAUUGAGCCAAUCAUUAAUGGCAGGUCAAGUCUGGCUACCCUAAGAAGACACUGAACUCAUUCUGUUAUAAAAAGCGAACGCUUUCUGCUUGGUCAUUUUUGGAAGGUGGUGCCACUUUUUUAGACCAAAAGAGCGGUUUGGCUUGAAAGGCCCAUAUUUCAUCCACAAACACAUCUUACUUGGGGCUCAAUGCAGUCACUGAGCAGGCAGUGAGUUAAAAGGCUCAGAGAAGCAGGUCUCGGCCUCCAUAGGCUGAUGGAUUGUGAGAUAAGUCAAAGUUAUUUCUUACUAAUAAUAAAGAGACAAAUGCAGCAAUUUACUUUUUAAAAAAAUUAUGAGCCCCGGUUCCAGCUAAACCCCCAUUGUGGCCUCACGAGUUUUCCUUCCUUGAUGUGCUCACUGAAGCAGAAUAGGAAGGGAUGGAGGAUUUAAGGGCUAUAGGACAGGUUCACAAAGUUCCAGCCUCCAUAGGAAGCACGAGGCUUUUGUACACAUGCAUACCUAUAAGAAUAAGAAAAACUGUUUUGACUACAAAAGAGAAACAAGCAAUAAAAUAUCAACAG